UUUCUAUGGAGUUUAUUGUCAUUUUCUGUUCAGGUCUAGAGUAGAAAAGCAUGCAAAAAAUAGCCUCUCUAUUCAUGGUACAUAUUUACAGUGUAACAGCCACGCGCCGUUACGGUACGGAGUGCAUAUACAUCAUGCUUGAAUGACAGCAGAGUACAUACAGCAUCAUAGUUAACAUCAAGUGUAAUGAGAGACUCAAAUAGCAACAGAACAGGCCUAGAAGUCAGAAACAGCAGCAAACCUAUGCACAGAGGAUCCAAAUUGUACCCUCAAAAGUUGCAGCUCUUGUUCUUGAAUUUACACCAGUUUUUGGAGCACUUUGACUGAUGGUUCGUGGUCACUGACCCAGGGCCUGGGCUCGCAGCGGCUCUGGGCAUACAUGGCUUUUCUUCAGGAAGGGAAGGGGAAAGGCAGCCGCUGAUUCUCAAGCUCUUUCCUUCCCUCUUCCCAUAGAAGGCUGCAUUCAGAGCAACAGGUCAUGGGAUAACCCAGGUUGGGAGGGACCCGAUCAGAGCACAGUCUUCUGUGGAGGUCUCUGGGCCAGAAAAGAAACCUCUGCCACUGCUUUGCUCAGCAACCACCGCUGUCAAUGUGCCCUGGUGAACGGAGAACUUUGGCACCCAGACUGAGUUACACAAACACACAAACCCCGCACUAUCCGCUUUCCAGCCUCAGCAUUCCUGCCAGACACGCGAUGCGCUCACGCUCCCAGCAGCACGGUCCUUCCCUCGGGAAGCUGUUUACAUUUGCUGAUCCCCAUCUCCUGGGGACAGAAAGGAGCCUGCCUCCCCUGCUAUCCCCAUCCACACCAGGGUGAGAUCCCUGUCCCAAGGAAGGACCAUCUGUUACUGUGGCUGAACACUACUGAGCAGAAAGCAAACACGGAUGACAAUGGAGCCUGCAAAAAGCAAACAACCAACCAGAUGGGAGCUGCUGGCCCCAGAGGACACGAACAAGACAGGUCACUGAUGCCACCAUGGCCAGCACAGGACAGGCCUGGCUGAUCCACACUCGAAAUGAUGAUAAAGAAAACACGUGUGGCACUGACCUUUCAGAAAGCCCAGUCGUUUGCUGGGCAGCUUCUUGUGUCUCAAGGCACUGAAAACACAGAACAUCAUCACAGCCCAGCCACACUCACUGCUGCAGGUGAUUUGGUUUCUCUUGUGGCCACGGGCUCCUACAUGGAUCAGGCUGGAGACACGGUGCUGCAGGCAAAGCUUCCAGGUCUUCCUCCUGCCCCCAGCAGCACAGACACUGGAAACUCCCAACAAAUGCCCUUACAAAUGCCCUCUCUGUUCUGCACAACCGCCCCAUGGACCUGCUCCUGCUCCAGGGCUAAGCCAUGUGGCUACACCUCAUCUAACAUUCCUCAUGGAUGCAUCACUGGGAAAACCACGGCCCAAAGCUGAGCCCCUGUGCAGGGCUCAGAGUUCUAACACAGUGAGUGGUUAUCCAGGCAUCCAUUCCCAUGCUGCAAUACAUCAGGAAUGAGCUGAGAACCUCAUUUAUUUGCAAAUGUGACAUUCACAGUGAUGUAUUCCUGCCCAAAGGGAAAUACUGCAGUGAAUGUCUUCAACCCUGUGCCAGACAGGAGAGCCUAAACCAGGGUUUUCACUUAGCACUACCUCCCAAACUGACGGCUGAGAAGAGAACUAUUAGUUGAGCAGGACAAAGAAAUCUCCUUCCUGCAGAUCAAAAAGAUGUGCGGUUUCCCCAAAAGAGAGAUCUCCUUCAGGGUCUCUCAGCCCUUGCACCUAGAAAAGCCAACCAAAGCUGACCAGAGCUGCCUCUGCCAUCACGCAUCAGGGCAAGAGGAGCCCUCCCUGGCACACAGAGCCCAGCUAACACAGUUCAGAGCAUCCAGUGCUCCAGGAACAGCACGGGUAAGUGAGGAUCUGGAGGGAAAAACACACACAAAAGCAUCCGAGCACCCCUGCACCAGCUCUUCUCGCUUCUGGAGGAGCCCUGCCACGCCAAACCCCAUCCCCUCCUUCACAGAGAGAAGCGAGACAAGUAUCUCACCACCCAGCUGAAGAGAACGAACUUCCUGAGCAGAUAAAUGGGCUGGCUCACCAGAGCCAAAUAAAUACCCUCUCUCUAGUCUCUUCCUUUCUUCGGAGCAGAAGCAGCGUUGCUCCAAGCUGCCCUAAACACGCACAUAAAGAAGCCAGGAUUUCAUUUCAGCCAAGCAAGAAGUAGAGCGUAUUUCUGCCAGAGUCCUACCAAGCCUUGGAAUAAGUGUGUUUCUUCCC
Strigops habroptila (Kakapo) is the source of this 2252-nucleotide long non-coding RNA. The record is from Ensembl. NCBI's taxonomy places the organism in Eukaryota, Metazoa, Chordata, Aves, Psittaciformes, Psittacidae.